This is a non-coding RNA of Biomphalaria pfeifferi, 255 nucleotides long. The record is from the annotation of a GenBank genome assembly. NCBI's taxonomy places the organism in Eukaryota, Metazoa, Mollusca, Gastropoda, Planorbidae.
AGGCUUUAAAAGGAGUCAACCUUUAAUACAGUAAGACAUUACAUUAUUUAGUCACAAACUUCCCUUUUAGUAACUCAGAUUAUGAACAUAGUUAUUAGUGAUUAUGGUGUAUCUCAAGUAGACAUUGUAUUGUACUUGUUUACCAAUUCAUGUUAGUCAUGAUAGACCUAUACGUAAAUAUAUAUAGUUUAACUGUCUUAACAUCUACAACAUCAGUUUAACUGUCUUAACAUCUACCACAUUAGUUUAAUUGUC